RNAcentral lists this long non-coding RNA (761 nucleotides) under Marmota monax (woodchuck). The record is from RNAcentral. Lineage: Eukaryota; Metazoa; Chordata; Mammalia; Rodentia; Sciuridae.
GUUUGAUCAUUAAUAAAAUUGGAACUUCAUAUGAUAAAGUAAUGGAGGAAGAAAAUAGGAAAAGACAAAGAAAUAGUUGAUUGAACCUGCUGACGCCCAGACCCACUCUUUUAGGCUGUAAGAUGCACUGGAGCAUCUUGUCAAGCAACAUAAUUUUAAAAGCCAUUAUUUCUCCUCUUUAUCUACAAACAACAAAGUCAGCAGAUUAAGGCAAAGCAUGACAUAGGCAUGCUGUCCCCUGGCCAAAGCCUGUGUGGGACACAGACUAAAUGAGAGUUGGGAGCUUAAAACCCUGGACCUCAGCGACUUGAGGUUCCGAGUACGGGAAUGAGGAGGCUUGGCUGCAGUCAGGCAGCGAUAGCUGUUUAGAAUGGAGCCACAUGACACUGUCGCAGAGGCUGUUUUUCUUCCAUCUGGCUGCAAAGUUGAAGUCUAUCCACAAAGAAAGGAAACUCAGUCACUGUGCAGCCUCAGAGUCCAGGGCGUGUAUGCUCUUUCUGGACUUGCCCAGAUCAGUCCCAAGCAAAAGCUGGAGGGCUGGUCUUCCCUCCAUGCCUGUCCUUGAUGGUCCCAGCAGCUCUUAUCUGUCCUACAGGAUCACCUGACCUCCUUUACCUGGGUUCUCAUCCUUCCAAUUCCACCUGGGAGGCAGUCCCCUGCAGGAGUGCUGCAGGGCCACACCCUCUGCUCGCUGAGGAGCGGUCGGUGGGCUACACCUUAUUCAGCUUUGGUGACACUACCUCAAUGCUGGUGAAGUAACC